AUACGAAGGGUGCAAGCGUUACUCGGAAUUACUGGGCGUAAAGCGUGCGUAGGUGGUUGUUUAAGUCUUGUCGUGAAAGCCCUGGGCUCAACCUGGGAAUUGCGAUGGAAACUGGGCGACUAGAGUGUGGCAGAGGGUAGUGGAAUUCCUGGUGUAGCAGUGAAAUGCGUAGAGAUCAGGAGGAACAUCCGUGGCGAGGGCGACUGCCUGGGCCAACACUGACACUGAGGCACGAAAGCGUGGGGAGGC
RNAcentral lists this ribosomal RNA (249 nucleotides) under uncultured bacterium. RNAcentral describes it as "partial 16S ribosomal RNA". It matches the Rfam family "Bacterial small subunit ribosomal RNA", at positions 523 to 770 of the family's 1533-position model. The record is from RNAcentral.